RNAcentral lists this transfer RNA (68 nucleotides) under Durgades nigropicta. RNAcentral describes it as "tRNA-Gln". Lineage: Eukaryota; Metazoa; Arthropoda; Insecta; Hemiptera; Cicadellidae. The record is from RNAcentral.
UGUAAUUAAGUGUAUGUAGCACGUAAAUUUUUGAUAUUUAAAGUUAAGUUUAAUUCUUAAAGUUAUAA